Molecule: non-coding RNA, 75 nt
Organism: Zopfochytrium polystomum
Lineage: Eukaryota; Fungi; Chytridiomycota; Chytridiomycetes; Chytridiales; Chytridiaceae
Source: the annotation of a GenBank genome assembly
GGGCAGAUGGCUGAGCGGUCCAAGGCGCUACGUUCAGGUCGUAGUCCCGAGAGGGUUCGAAUUCCACUCUGCUCA